This 129-nucleotide ribosomal RNA is filed under the name Jaculus jaculus (lesser Egyptian jerboa). The record is from RNAcentral. Lineage: Eukaryota; Metazoa; Chordata; Mammalia; Rodentia; Dipodidae.
AUCCACGGCCAUACCUCUCUGAACACAGUCAGUGUCAUCUGAUCUUGGAAGCUAAGCAUGGUCAGGCCUAGUUAGCACCUGGACAGGAGAAGUUUAUAGGCCUGGUGUUAGAGUUUAGCCAAGUGGAAA